UUUUUUUUUUUUUUUCAUGAUUGAGUCAGCCUUGGUAGAUUCAGCUUGGUCCCUGGUUUCCCACAACCUCAAAUCCUGUAGAAGAAUGGAUUUGUUUUAGGCCAACUCAUGGUUCAUGCUAUCCUCAGAGUAGAGUCAAACAAAACUUCUUGUUACACAAUUUAUUUUGUGCCCUUUUGGGGUGGUCCCCAAAUCUCCUUCAGAUAUGCCAGAUCUGGUUCAACUUUCAGAAGCAAUAUCUGAGUAAUGACUCCAUCCUGCUCCACUCAGGGAUUUUGUCUCCAUGUCACACAUGUGGGAAGAGGGUAUGGGGCCACAGGAGGAAGACCUAUAGAAAUCACCAAGUGCUCAAGGGUAAAACUGCUAGGAAAAGGACAGGAUUCCAGAAAGGCAGAAAAGAAGAGAAGGGAAUGAUCACUAGCAACAUGAGAACAGAGAAUCGUCUGGGAAUCGGAGAGCAGUGAGCAGCACCUGUGGAAGGGUUGAUCCUGGCAAGGGAAGACCGGGGACCAGGUCAGAUCAGUGGAAAGAAAGCAAAGAGGGGAGCAAGAAAUGAGAUCUGGGAGAGGCAGCAGCCAGGCAGCAAAGAUGAAAAGCUCUAAUCUGACAAGGGAAGAAGGAAGGCAGGAGGGAUGCUGGGUGAAAGAAUUGCUCCUAGAACAGAAGUUACACAAGGCCUCUUCUUCUUACUCUUGUGACCAUUUCAGCCUUAAAAUUUUCAUUUCUAAUGGGGCUUAGUGAUGAGCCUUAUCAAGCCUAAUCUUCAGGAAUAUUACGUGCAAUAACAAGAAAUGGAUUGGAAAAUCUUCAUAUGGUUUCAUGUGGUUAUUUGUGAAAGCUGAACUUAACCAAUCUCUAGCUCCCAUCACAAUGAAAAACAAUGGUGGCUGCAAACCAUGUUUCUAGCAUUCUUACUCCAUACUUUCCAUACUUUCAAUUAUUCACUCAACUGUUACCAAUGGGCUGCUCUGUUACCUUCUACUGGGAUUUAGGAUUAUAAAGUGAAAUAAGAUAUUUUCUGUCAGCAAGUUGUUCACAUGGGAAAAACAUACACUUAAAAAUAACAAUGUGUUGAGAAGUACUAUGACAAAGAAACUAUAACAGGGAUAUGGAGGGACCAGAGAGGGUGUCCUCUAGCCAUUUCCCUCAUAUACCCCCAUUUACCCCCAUACACCCCCAUCCACCUGGAAAGUCUCCUUCCCAACCCUAACCCUCAACCCAUAUCCCUUGAAGUCCUGACCAUUCCUCACAUUAUAGAUCAAAUGCUAUUUUCUCAACAAGGUAGUUCCUAAUCUCAGAAGGUGGAAUUAAUCUUUCCAUUCUGUGUGCCUCUGUAACAUGUUAUUUAUAUCUCUGGUGUAAAAUUUAUUCUAAUUAGUUCUUUUUAAAAAAACUAUGUAUGAUGAAGGUAGAGAUAGAUAGAUAGAUAGAUAGAUAGAUAGAUAGAUAGAUAGAUAGAUAUGGAGGUUUCUUAAAGUGCAGUUAGGGUCUGGUGAGGUAAAAGUUCAUUUACAUCAAGUAAUCUACAGCCCCCUUUAAGAGGCUAAAGUGAAUAGACCCUGCUGCAUUCUGGCAAUUGUGAAACCUUGUUUGUACAUUUUCUUGUUUUGAAGAGGCAUAAAAGAAAUAGCCUUUAGACCUAAAAUGACCCAGUCAUUCCUUCCAGCUCUUUCUACAUUGGACAAAGAACAGGGAACAAAAUAAAACAAAACAAAACAAAACAAAACUCAAAUUAGUCACAUAAUUUUUAAUCUGGAAAGGACUCUAUAUUUCAUUUAACCCAAUAUCUUAAUUACAAAUAAAGAAACUAUAUUCUGAGAAAUUUAGAUACUUAUUCAAUAUUACACAGCAAGAAUCAACGAUAAAUUUUGCAAUCCUUAAGUUUGAGGCUCUUCCCAAUAGAACCUUCCCAAAAUGUAAACCAAGCAGUUUACCUUUAAUAAGAAAGAAAGUGUUUUUUUAAAAAAUGGGACAGCAUUAAAAUGUACAGAGAAAAAAAAAUUCAUUGAAAAGCAGUAUACAUUAUAGAGAAAUGUCUUCCCAUUAGUCCAUUUGUCCACAGAGAACAUCAUGCUUUCACAAACAUCAGUGAAAAUGUUUGUAGAGUUUAAAGCUUUAAUUUAAAAAUCUGUCCUUUAUGAUGUCUGGAUCCUUUAUCCUUCAGACAUCAAAUAAUUCUAUACAGUUAGCAAUAAGAAUUAUUUUGAGGUUCUUCUCCAAGAUAUUUUAGUAUGUUUGGUGGUAGUGGCCAUUAACAGGUGUUCUUAACAGUUGCGGAAGUAAAAUAAUACAUCAAGGCUCUGUUGAGAGGUGCACAUUCACACAUGUUCUCUCCCAUCAUGACUUAGGCAAAGGCAGCAGGUGCACUCAAAUGUGACACAGUUUACUCCAUCUCAGUCCUGCUAUUAUUGCCAGAGGGCUUGUCUUUUCCCUGCCCUUUCCCACGUCCCCCUGCCCCAUCGCCAUCCUGAUAGAUCUGACCCAGUCCUAUAGACACCCCAGAUUGGGCAUGUGGGUGUGCACACACCCACACACACCAGGUUGAAGCACUAAAAUUGAAUUUAAAACUUACUGGGUUCCAAUGCUAAACAGGCAUAUGUAUAUAUAAUAUGUAUAUAUGUACAUGUGGAUAGGUACAUAUAAUAUGUAUUUAUCUACCUAUAUAUUCAAAGUGAUAAUCCCUUAGAUAAAUACCACUCGCUUUUAAAAAUUCUUUCAUUCACUGCACAGGAUGGUCUGAAGAAACUGGCUUUUAGUUAGAGACUACAUCCACUGCUCUGCCAUUCCCAAGGACCCCUCAGGGGCACAGAGACAGUACCUCAGUUUUGCAGCUACAUAGGGGUUUAAAUACAACUUCUACCACUUCCUAUUUGUGUGAUCUUGAGAAAAUCACUUAACCUCUUUGAACAAUAAUUUCCUUAAUUCUAACUGAGGAUGUUAAUACCUUCUUCAUGAAGUUAGGAGGACUGGAGGUAUUGUAUGCCAAUGGGUGCUGCAUGGUAGUGCUCAGUACAUAAUAGCUAUUAUGAUGCAGAUGAUGAUAAGAGGGAAGAGUUAAAGAGGAAACGGGGGACGAUCAUGGCCCCCAUUUCCCAAAUGCCUUCUAUAUUUCAGGAUUUCUCAGCAAGGAUUGGUAGAACUUGACUGCUAGCCUUUAUCUGGUGAGUAUGAAGCUCGAGGUAGAGGAAAGAGAACUAGUAGGGGGAAGUCCAUGAAUGGCUAGCAUUUAAUGUUAUUUUCUUGUCUUGGGCCUACACAUACAUACACUUAAUGUCCCUUCCAGUGCUGAGGAAACGGCAUUUCACAGUAGUGAAUUCAGCAUCUUUUGAGGAAUCAAAGCCAUUUUUUUUCUUUUUGCUUAGCAGGACCGGACUGCACAAAGCAGGGUGAAAGAAUUCACGUGAUCUCCAUGGUGGCUAAUUAUACAAUUUCCAGUUUCAACAGCAGGUCCCAGCUAUUUGCUCCCCCGCUACCCCAGCAAUUCUAGUAACUGUGAGCUAUCCUAUGGAUCACAGAACAAAUGCCCAGCUCCUUUCUACAGUCAUGGGGUCAGAGUACACAGCCAACCCACUAGCAGAGCUGGUGUUGUGGUCUGAGCCAUCCAAAGUACAAGGAAGGAGGAAGCCCCAACCUACCCCGGACAUGCCCUGAAUGACACAGCCGUUUAGGGCCUGCCUAAGAUGCCAUUCUGUUUGCAAACACAUACUACCUGCCGUAUCACUCAACAAAAUAAUUCCAUCAGAAGGCCUGAAGGCAAAUGACUAAUGUUAAAAGUGGCCCAUGCAUCAUUUCAGAGCUGUAGUCAAUGGCUGAUAAAACAUACGUGAUCAUAACUAUAAAGAAAUUUCGCAGCCCUCUCCUUGCUCAAAAGCAACCAGGGCCCAUGAGGACAAUCAACCUGGAAGAUACCCAAAAGAUGAGGUGAGUAAAGAAAAGCCUGCAUCUGAAGCCAGCACUGCUCUUCCUUGUGCACAGAAAGCAAAGAUCGGGAGUUGCAUGUGGUCAUAUUUUCAGCCACCAAAAACAAACAAAAAAACCAACCAAACCUCAAAAAAGCCCAGACGGGUCUAGGGAAUGCUUGGGAGUUUGUCUGGUAGUCUAUGGUAAACUUCAAUUGUUAUGUCUCUGAGUGAAAGAAAGGAUGGGCAGUAGUCCAUCCCCUGCUUCUAGGAGUGCUUUCCAGUAUCCCCAUUGUAGGACCUGCUCAGCACACCAGGCCAAACUCACUGUCCAAAUAUCCUUCCCUAGAACCAUACAAUAACCACCUUCUGAGUGGAAGGAAAAGGACACACUUAACAAAUGAAGUCAAGGCAUAAAACCUCCAGCAGAGAGACAGUGGCUGGAGCAGAAAUGCUUUUCAAGGCUGCAGUUCUAAAUCAGUCAGGCAGACACCUGUAUACAUACAUACAUAGAGAGACAAAGCUUCAAACACCACCACCUCCUCACACCUAAUGACUGCCUGUGAUGAGAGUUUGCAUUCUCUAUUCUGGCUUUUCUAACAACAAAAAAUGUGUCUUUAUACUCAGUUCUGAUUCUGAACCUAUUCUCUAAUGCUUAUCCAUUUUUUGUUUUUCCAAUACACAAGGUCAGAUAAAUGAGAAAUAAAAUAUUUUUCAGUUUUAAUUUUGAUCCAGAUCUAAAUUAUUUGUCACUUUUAAUUCAUUACCUUUGAUUUCCCCUUCAAGUGAUUUAAGUCAAUGCACCCCUCACAUACACAUAACAACAGUAAGAAGGAUAAUAUUCUUAGAUUGGGGCUAGCAAAUAUAAGCAAAACAAACAAACAAACAAAUAAAAAACCCACAAGCAAAAACAACGAUGCUUCCGUUUUCAUGAGUCCUUUUACCAAUGAUGCAGUGUACUGAAAUCUCUUCAAAGCAGUUGCUUCAGUGUUAAGUUUUUGGUUCGAAAAUAAAAAGGGGUCACUGACAAUUAAUUUCUCAGCACAAUAGAAAAGCAACCCAACCCCUUAACAACACUAAAAUGGCAGAAUUAAACACAGUGGGAACAAGUAGGAAUAGACGAAUACCUGGGAUUGCCAGAUUGGAAAGGGGGAGGUUGUGGAGGUGAGGGGGGAGCGAGGCCAUCCAGUCGGCAUUGCAGACCUCCGAUGAUGUCUUUGUCCCGCUGGGGUUGGGAGAGCAGAUGGUCCCCAUUCUGAGUUUCCUCCUAGCCUUCCUAACUGCUAGCAUCCCUGUUGUUAACAAACUGGCCAGUCUCAGCCCAGUGCCACUCACUCAGUGAUCAUCACUUCUCCGGCUCUGUGGACGUUUCAGGGCGACGCUUGCCACGCCAGCCUUUCCAAAAUGCCUUUCUGGCUGGGAGACGGGGCAAACAGAUGGAUCCCUACCCACUAGCACCCGCAGUCCCCACUCUCCCCGGCCCAGCCUCUGCUCCACUCCCUUAAUCUGCUCAGUCCCAGCUCCGUUAAACUUCUUA
This 5436-nucleotide long non-coding RNA is filed under the name Macaca fascicularis (crab-eating macaque). RNAcentral's name for it is "lncRNA (ENSMFAG00000047816.1)". Lineage: Eukaryota; Metazoa; Chordata; Mammalia; Primates; Cercopithecidae. The record is from RNAcentral.